Molecule: small nuclear RNA, 192 nt
Filed under: Alternaria alternata
Lineage: Eukaryota; Fungi; Ascomycota; Dothideomycetes; Pleosporales; Pleosporaceae
Description: U2 spliceosomal RNA
Rfam family: U2 spliceosomal RNA
About the family: U2 is a small nuclear RNA (snRNA) component of the spliceosome (involved in pre-mRNA splicing). Complementary binding between U2 snRNA (in an area lying towards the 5' end but 3' to hairpin I) and the branchpoint sequence (BPS) of the intron results the bulging out of an unpaired adenosine, on the BPS, which initiates a nucleophilic attack at the intronic 5' splice site, thus starting the first of two transesterification reactions that mediate splicing.
Source: Rfam by way of RNAcentral
UUAGCUCUCUUUGCCUUUUGGCUUAGAUCAAGUGUAGUAUCUGUUCUUUUCAGUUUAAUCUCUGAAACUUUCCUACGGGAAAAUUCAAGAUUAUCCUUAUUUUUGAAAUCAGCCGGAGAGGCUCUGGGCUUGCUCAUCUUCCCUGGCACAGUGUCGCCAGUAUCACACUACUUCUGGCAGACGCGAACCUAC